CAGUCGCCGCGGUAAUACGAAGGGUGCAAGCGUUACUCGGAAUUACUGGGCGUAAAGCGUGCGUAGGUGGUUUGUUAAGUCUGUCGUGAAAGCCCUGGGCUCAACCUGGGAAUUGCGAUGGAUACUGGCAAGCUAGAGUACGGUAGAGGAUGGUGGAAUUCCCGGCGUAGCGGUGAAAUGCGUAGAGAUCGGGAGGAACACCCGUGGCGAAGGCGGCCAUCUGGACCAGUACUGACGCUGAGGCACGAAAGCGUGGGGAGCAAACAGGAUUAGAUACCCGUGUAGUCCCUGUCUCUUAUAA
This 301-nucleotide ribosomal RNA is filed under the name uncultured bacterium. RNAcentral's name for it is "partial 16S ribosomal RNA". It matches the Rfam family "Bacterial small subunit ribosomal RNA", at positions 509 to 809 of the family's 1533-position model. The record is from RNAcentral.